CCCCUAGACGUUCUGGGCUGCACGCGCGCUACAAUAAUACGCACAGCGAGUAUCACCGAGCUCGAAAGGGCAAGGUAAACAAUAGAAAAGGUACUGUAAUGGUUAUAGAUCCUUGUAAUUAUUGAUCUUCAACGAGGAAUUCCUAGUAAGUAUGUGUCAUCAUCACGCACUGAUUACGUCCCUGCCCUUUGUACACACCGCCCGUCGCUCCUACCGAUUGGGUGAGCCGAUGAAACUCUCGGAUGUAGGCUAUUCAUAGCCCGCAGAAGAGAUUUGAGUCGUAGCGCUUAGAGGAAGGAGAAGUCGUAACA
This 311-nucleotide ribosomal RNA is filed under the name uncultured eukaryote. Its description in RNAcentral is "partial 18S ribosomal RNA". It matches the Rfam family "Eukaryotic small subunit ribosomal RNA", at positions 1470 to 1796 of the family's 1831-position model. The record is from RNAcentral.